GUGCCAGCCGCCGCGGUAACACGAACCGGACAAACGUUAUUCGGAAUUAUUGGGCUUAAAGGGUGCGUAGGCGGUGCGGUAAGUGCGGUGUGAAAUCCCACGGCUCAACCGUGGAAUUGCGCUGCAUACUGCCGUGCUAGAGGGAGACAGGGGUAAGCGGAACUGAUGGUGGAGCGGUGAAAUGCGUUGAUAUCAUCAGGAACACCGGUGGCGAAAGCGGCUUACUGGGUCUUCUCUGACGCUGAGGCACGAAAGCUAGGGUAGCGAACGGGAUUAGAUACCCGUGUAGUCC
RNAcentral lists this ribosomal RNA (292 nucleotides) under uncultured bacterium. Its description in RNAcentral is "partial 16S ribosomal RNA". It matches the Rfam family "Bacterial small subunit ribosomal RNA", at positions 505 to 796 of the family's 1533-position model. The record is from RNAcentral.